This 253-nucleotide ribosomal RNA is filed under the name uncultured bacterium. RNAcentral describes it as "partial 16S ribosomal RNA". It matches the Rfam family "Bacterial small subunit ribosomal RNA", at positions 524 to 776 of the family's 1533-position model. The record is from RNAcentral.
UACAGAGGGUGCAAGCGUUAAUCGGAUUUACUGGGCGUAAAGCGCGCGUAGGUGGCCAAUUAAGUCAAAUGUGAAAUCCCCGAGCUUAACUUGGGAAUUGCAUUCGAUACUGGUUGGCUAGAGUAUGGGAGAGGAUGGUAGAAUUCCAGGUGUAGCGGUGAAAUGCAUAGAGAUCUGGAGGAAUACCGAUGGCGAAGGCAGCCAUCUGGCCUAAUACUGACACUGAGGUGCGAAAGCAUGGGGAGCAAACAGG